This 321-nucleotide long non-coding RNA is filed under the name Ananas comosus (pineapple). RNAcentral's name for it is "long non-coding RNA (ACOM_LNC026679)". The record is from RNAcentral. Lineage: Eukaryota; Viridiplantae; Streptophyta; Magnoliopsida; Poales; Bromeliaceae.
CAAUGUAUGAAGGUGGCAGAUUAGCGGCGAGAAGGUUUUGGAGCCUGUUUCGGAUAUUUCGGAAAUUCGUUUUUGCAGUUUUUUGCGUAGUUGAUUUUUUACUGUUUGUUGAGGGUUGUCGCUACCCUGGCACUUCUUCUGGUGUGUUUGUGGACAGCGGUUAGUUACAAUAGGGAUCGAGGAUUUGUGGAGUAAUUUGUGGGUUCUAGAGGCAUUCCGGUAAGUUCCAGAAGUUUUGGCGGGUUUUAGAUGAUCGAUUUCAGUAGCCGUUUUGUUGGGUUAUUUGGGAGUCUCUUUCGGAUAGAGCUUCAUUUAGUGGAU